UGCAAGUCGAGCGGUAGCACAGGGGAGCUUGCUCCCUGGGUGACGAGCGGCGGACGGGUGAGUAAUGUCUGGGAAACUGCCUGAUGGAGGGGGAUAACUACUGGAAACGGUAGCUAAUACCGCAUAACGUCGCAAGACCAAAGAGGGGGACCUUCGGGCCUCUUGCCAUCAGAUGUGCCCAGAUGGGAUUAGCUAGUAGGUGGGGUAAUGGCUCACCUAGGCGACGAUCCCUAUCUGGUCUGAGAGGAUGACCAGCCACACUGGAACUGAGACACGGUCCAGACUCCUACGGGAGGCAGCAGUGGGGAAUAUUGCACAAUGGGCGCAAGCCUGAUGCACCCAUGCCGCGUGUGUGAAGAAGGCCUUCGGGUUGUAUAUCACUUUC
This 385-nucleotide ribosomal RNA is filed under the name uncultured bacterium. RNAcentral's name for it is "bacterial SSU rRNA". It matches the Rfam family "Bacterial small subunit ribosomal RNA", at positions 56 to 437 of the family's 1533-position model. The record is from RNAcentral.